RNAcentral lists this ribosomal RNA (375 nucleotides) under uncultured organism. RNAcentral describes it as "partial 16S ribosomal RNA". It matches the Rfam family "Bacterial small subunit ribosomal RNA", at positions 527 to 897 of the family's 1533-position model. The record is from RNAcentral.
GUAGGUGGCAAGCGUUGUCCGGAAUUAUUGGGCGUAAAGCGCGCGCAGGCGGUCCUUUAAGGUCUGAUGUGAAAGCCCACGGGCUCAACCGUGGAGGGUCAUUGGAAACUGGGGGACUUGAGUACAGAAGAGGAAAGCGGAAUUCCAAGUGUAGCGGUGAAAUGCGUAGAGAUUUGGAGGAACACCAGUGGCGAAGGCGGCUUUCUGGUCUGUAACUGACGCUGAGGCGCGAAAGCGUGGGGAGCAAACAGGAUUAGAUACCCUGGUAGUCCACGCCGUAAACGAUGAGCGCUAAGUGUUAGGGGGUUUCCGCCCCUUAGUGCUGCAGCUAACGCAUUAAGCACUCCGCCUGGGGAGUACGGCCGCAAAGGCUGA